AUAAUAUACAAUACAUAAAACUUCUCUGUUGUAGGACAGUAUGUUUUAAAUGUCUUUGAAAGUGUAGUCUUUGUUCAUGUCUAGAUCCACACUCCAGUGUGUACUGUAAUAAUAAUACUUUCCUUAUUAAUAUUUGGAAGUUUCUCAGUCCUCCUACCAGCAUUCUCUAUGGAGUAAAUUUGCCUAACAGAAACAGCUGUAAGAGCUGGAAUCAAGUUGUACAUAGAGCUGUUUAUAGCAAAUAUAGUUUCCUUACGCCUUAUGCUUGUCACAACAAGGCACACUCCACAAUUACAGUCAGAACCUUGGUGGGUUAGUCACUUCCUCAAGUCCCAGAAAAGAAACUUGUACUUUAUUGUGCUUUUUAUUUUUAUUAAAUUCUCUUAGUCUGGUUUGCUCAGCCUUAAUACCUGAACUACUGUUUAGCUCUACCCUUGAAUAUGUGUUAAGCAUUUUUAGUAAUUGCUCUGUGGGUGAAUAGGCCCAUUCUAGAUCAAUAUGUUGUUUCAUGUGCUCAUCAGCUGAAGAGAAAACCUGAUACCAGUUCAACAAAUAUUCCCUGCCUCUUGCCCCAUUAACAAAUUGGUGGGAUUACCAGAGGUUUGCAAGUUUUGUCUCUCUAUUCCUUACCAAAUAUUUGAAUCUGUGUGACUUCUUAAUGGAAGUUUUUCUCUGUGGUACCUGAAAAUAUCGCUGUCAGCUAUUUUUAGGAAAUUACUGGUUUUAGUCUUUUACAUAAUAACCCUACUAGAAACAACAUGGAUACUAAUGCAAUAACAUUUCUGAAUUUAUUAGUGCUUAAUAGAUGAACAACUAUGUUAUAAGAAGCAACUGUACUGCCUCUCAUUCAGUGCAGAAAUGUCACCUCUGUGGGAGAGUCCAAAAAACAUCAAUGUUCAUGUGCUACAUGAAGCAAGACAGUGGAUACAGCAGCUGGAGCCUGGUCGAGGCUGCAAUUUGCUGAAAGGCUUAAAACAUGUCCUUAUGAUGAAAGAACUCAAUUCUCUGGUUCUUAUUGUAGGAAGCUGGUAAAUUUGUUAUCUGUCCUGACUACCAGUUUUAACUUGGGUACAGAAUUGGCUCAAGAAUCUGAACCU
RNAcentral lists this long non-coding RNA (1097 nucleotides) under Strigops habroptila (Kakapo). RNAcentral describes it as "lncRNA (ENSSHBG00005004578.1)". The record is from RNAcentral. Lineage: Eukaryota; Metazoa; Chordata; Aves; Psittaciformes; Psittacidae.